CCGCCAUUAGCUCAACCGGAUAGAGCUUCUACCUCUAAGGUUCGGGGUUCAAUUCCUCGAUGGCGGACCA
Molecule: transfer RNA, 70 nt
Filed under: Salmonella enterica
Lineage: Bacteria; Pseudomonadati; Pseudomonadota; Gammaproteobacteria; Enterobacterales; Enterobacteriaceae
Also listed under: 5 other names
Description: tRNA-OTHER
Rfam family: tRNA
About the family: Transfer RNA (tRNA) molecules are approximately 80 nucleotides in length. Their secondary structure includes four short double-helical elements and three loops (D, anti-codon, and T loops).
Source: RNAcentral